AACGAACGCUGGCGGCGUGCCUAACACAUGCAAGUCGAACGUGAUUAGAGAGCUUGCUCUCUAUGAAAGUGGCGCACGGGUGAGUAACGCGUAGAUAAUCUACCUGAUGAUUCGGGAUAACACUUCGAAAGGGGUGCUAAUACCGAAUAAGCCCACGGAGUCCUUGGACUCUGCGGGAAAAGGGGGGGACCUUCGGGCCUUCCGUCAUCAGAUGAGUCUGCGUACCAUUAGCUAGUUGGUAGGGUAAAGGCCUACCAAGGCGACGAUGGUUAGCUGGUCUGAGAGGAUGAUCAGCCACACUGGAACUGAGACACGGUCCAGACUCCUACGGGAGGCAGCAGUGGGGGAUUUUGCGCAAUGGGGGAAACCCUGACGCAGCAACGCCGCGUGAGUGAUGAAGGCCCUUGGGUCGUAAGGCUCUGACAGAGGGAAAGAAAUGCAGGGGAGCUAAUAUCUCCCUUGCUUGACGGUACCCUCAAAGGAAGCACCGGCUAACUCCGUGCCAGCCGCCGCGGUAA
RNAcentral lists this ribosomal RNA (518 nucleotides) under uncultured bacterium. RNAcentral's name for it is "partial 16S ribosomal RNA". It matches the Rfam family "Bacterial small subunit ribosomal RNA", at positions 29 to 523 of the family's 1533-position model. The record is from RNAcentral.